UGUAGGAGCGAGCUUGCUCGCGAUAGCGGUGUGACAGUCGACUUCAUUGCUGACUGUCGGAUCGCCAUCGCGAGCAAGCUCGCUCCUACA
Molecule: unclassified non-coding RNA, 90 nt
Filed under: Pseudomonas sp. NFIX51
Lineage: Bacteria; Pseudomonadati; Pseudomonadota; Gammaproteobacteria; Pseudomonadales; Pseudomonadaceae
Also listed under: 1 other name
Source: RNAcentral